GAGUUUCACAUCUCCUGUCUCCAGCUAGAGCCUCCAGAAGUCCUAGGGGCAGGGCAAGCUGGUCCCCAAAAGAGGAUCAGAACACCAGAGAGACCAAGAAGGCCCUGGACAGGCCAGCUCACUUGGUCCAGCCCCAGGCCCCACACCUGUAACAAGGGCCGUGAUGACAGAGGUCUCAGCAAACAGCCCGCGGCCAAGGAGCUGGUGCAGCGAGGAGGGCAGGGGCCCACGCGCAGCCAUCCUCCAGAGAGCAUCAGUCUAGGCUGCAAGCUUGAAGCGGAGCAGAGAGUGGGGAGCAGGUUUUCAUCUAUCUGCUCAGGCCAUGGAAUUAAUUCACUGGGUAUCAGGCACUGGAUACACAUCACUUCAAAUUCUCAACACCCUGGAAAGGUCAGGGUCAAGGUCGGUCGCCGCUUUCUGCCAUCCAGCAUCAGCACCCUCUUCCAAUUAGCACCAUCCAUGCGCCCUGGGGGAUGCGCCCCUCGGCGCAGCGCAGUCUUGGUGGAAGGAUCGUGUGUUACAGGUAUAAUCAAAGCGGUUCAUUUUCCCUCUCCCUUUCCUCUAUGGACUCGGCCCAUCGGACACUGUCCCAGGAUUUUGAGAUUUCAGCUGGUGAUGCAAAGAGAAGCCUGGGUUCAUCUGGAACAUCUGGAGCACUAUGAAUGGGUCGCCUGGCCGUGUGGGUCCUGCAGCCCUGCGAGGUCCCUUGGAGGCUGCCUGCUUUCCAAGCCUGUUUUCAUGCCCUUCAGUUCUUCGAACCUCCAGCCCCCAGAGCUGCUCAGCGCAUGCCAUUUGUCGUUUCAUGUAGGGUCAGUUUCUGCUGCCUGUAAUCAUGAGUUUGGUCUGGUCUCUAGGGAUUUGUGGUCCCCAGUUUACAGAUCAGAAAGUUAAGCUCUGGACUAUGGCUCUUAAGCAAAAAGCUCCCCUCCUAGAGAACUCACAGAUCAAGAAGUAUCCAUCUAGGCUGGGCCAGGCCGGAUCUGGAGGUUUGGGAUCUAAAAAGAGAAUGACUCUCUGGGUUAGUUUCCUCACUGAGGCAUGCACACCAGUGUAUCCCCGGCUUGUGCAUUCAGUGUGACCAAAUCCAGGUCCGCACAGAAUGGCAGCUUGGUUUUGUGCAGAGUGUCACUGGUGUGGCACACAGCGAUUUGAGUUAGAACACAGAUAAAAACACGUGUUUAAGAAAUGCUAGGGAGUUCCCGUUGUGACACAUCAGAAAACAAAUCUGACUAGUAUCCAUGAGGUUGCAUGUUCGAUCCCUGGCCUUUCUCAGUGGGUUAAGGAUCCAGCAUUGCCGGGGGCUGUGGUAUAGGUCACGGAUGUGGCUUGGAUCCCCCAUGGCUGUGGCUGUGGUGUAGGCUGGCAGCUACAGCUCCGAUUGGAUCCCUAGCCCGGGAACCUCUAUAUGCCACGUGUGUGGCCCUCAAAAGCAAAACUAAAAAAAAAAAAAAAAAAAAAAAAAAA
Molecule: long non-coding RNA, 1464 nt
Filed under: Sus scrofa (pig)
Lineage: Eukaryota; Metazoa; Chordata; Mammalia; Artiodactyla; Suidae
Description: lncRNA (ENSSSCG00035038015.1)
Source: RNAcentral